Molecule: long non-coding RNA, 4206 nt
Organism: Oncorhynchus tshawytscha (Chinook salmon)
Lineage: Eukaryota; Metazoa; Chordata; Actinopteri; Salmoniformes; Salmonidae
Source: Ensembl
AGAUCCAUGUGAGUAGAUGCACUGUGGACCUCACAGGCUGUGUGUAAAGAAGGACGGAAAGCCUGUCUUUGCUUCAGAGUCUAACAUCUGCUCUGUAUAAGGGAUUCUUACUACCGCACCUUCGUCGGUAGUAACACUUUGCCGUGAUUGUGGCUAGUAUAUGUCCAUACUGUCUUGCUUUUGCAGAUCAAUAGUCAGCAGAGGAACCUGCCCCUAGCCCUGGCCGCCGGCUCUCUGCCUUUAAACCCUAGCAGCUCCAGCGUUGUCUUGGAAACAGACUUUGGCCUGAUGCUGCGGUAUGACUGGCAUCACAACCUUGAAUUGGAAGUGGCACCGGAGCUGUCUGGUUCACUGUGUGUUCUCUGUGGAAACUACAGCCACAAUGCAACUAAUGACUUUGCCACCCCUGAUGGAACUGUGGCGGCUGUGGACUUCGCGCUUCGCUGGAAAGUGGACUGCGGCGCCUCAUGUCCUGUGUGCAGUACAGGCCAAGUGAACUCUAAACCUACAUUGGGUUCGGUUUCAGGCUGCUGCAGAGCCACGUCCAUGUUGUUCCUGAACAGGACGUCUGCAGCUGCAAGGCUGACCAAUGUGCUGCUGAUGGAGCUCCUUCUGCUGUCUGUAGGUCGAUGCAGGUAUACUCUGACAUAUGUCAGAGGCCGGCUACCUCCCAGUGAAAGGACGGCUAUCUGCUCAGUGGCAGCCAUUGUGUCCCAGACAGCAGGUGUGGCUGCAGCCAUCAAGGUCUCUACUACCUCCCCAAGGAGAUGUUCUGGAUGGACCGCCAGUGUCGGAAGCAGUGCACCUGCCAGCCUUCCUCCAAGAAUGUCACCUGUGUCCAGGCCCAGUGUCAGGAGGACAAGGUGUGCAAGAUUCUGGCUGGGCUGCCAUAAGGAAGGGCUUAGGGUGUGCACAGCUCAAGGGGAUCGGCAUUACACCAUUUUUGACGGGAACAGGUGUGUCUUCCAAGGCACCUGUGCGUACCAGCUGGUGAGGCACUUCCCUAGCUCGGGAGACCUGCCUGGUUUCAGUGUGGUGACACAGAACAUGAGGAGGACGACACCAACACUUCUUAUUCCAGAAGGGUCAAUAUUUUGAUUCAUGGUUACUCUAUUGAGAUCUCUCAUUACUGGGAUGAAGUAGUUGUGGUCAAUGGGAUUAUUUUGAGCCUUCCCUCAGUGUUGAGCCAAGGUAAAGUGAAGAGCUCUCCACGUGUAUUGAGACUGUCUUUGGUGUCCUGGUCACAUACAACUGGAACCUCCUGACUGUCCAAGUGCCCAGGGUCUUCUCUGGCUCACUCUAUGGCCUGUGUGGGAACUUCAACGCGGACCCAGAGGACUAUCUAACAGACGACGGGGACAUCUAUGGCUGUGAGGCGCUGGAAAACUAGUAACGUUGUUGAAUGUGUGGAUGUGACGACAAUGAACAAUCCCCAAUGCCCCAUCAGGAACAGGCUCUCUAUUUAGGCAGGGACUACUGAGGGAGUGUUCCAGAACUGCCACGGGAUGGUCAACCCCAAACGCUGCCUUUGACAACUGUCUACGACCUCUGCUACAACAAUGACAAGCAGAAUGCCCUGUGUCAGAUUCUCUCAAGUUACACCGCUGCUUGCCAGGAGGAAGGGGCAAACAUAGAUGAAUGGAGGCUUCAGAUUAUUGUGGUCUGUCCUGUCCAGCCAACAUUGAAUACAACCUGUGCUCCAUCCCUGUGCCCAACAAUUGUGUGGCGUCUCGUGUAAACCUGGGUUCUUCCAUAGUGGUGUGUCCCCAACACUGAGUGCGGCUGCCUCUGACGGUUUGUGCCACAAGAUCAAGGCAGUGUUUUACGCCCAUGAUCAUUGCCAGGUUGCUUCUCUUGUCGGUCAUGGCUAGCUACCAUGCACUGACACCACCUGUUCCAGUGGAACAGAGUGUAGGAUCCAAAAUGGACCCUGUGACUGCUAUCCAGCGCCAGUUUCAGGGAAGUGCAAAGUGGUGGGAGGCAGGCACUUGGACCUAUGAUGGGCAUAGCUUUGAUCUCCAUAUGGGCAUAUCAAGAAGCCCCCAUUUCCUAAACCAGACAUAUGCCAAGAAUGGAGCAGAUACAUUUUCAUAUAUACAGCAAGGGCAGCUACACCUGAGGUACAAGGGACUGAAUGACUGUGGAACUGCAGCAGAGGGGGAUGGUUGAGGUGGAAAUGGACAAUGGGGCAGUGAUCACGUACAGUGGACCUGACUUCAUACAGCUGUUAUCUCCUCCUGCCUACGCUGGUAAGGCAUGUGGGUGGUGUUGAAACUUCAACAGCACUGCUACAGAUGACACUCAGAUGGUCCGUGACGUUUUCCUGUCUGGGGUCAUCUGCCCAGAGUGUAACUGGACCUUGGCGGCUGAGUUCAAGUUGGAGCAUUUCUGUGGAGUCCUCUCAGCUCCUGCUGGCCUAUUCAGAGACUGCCACGCCACGGUAGACCCACAACCUUUCUUGGACAACUGUGUAAAGGCCCCUGUGUGUGUCUUGAAGGGAUAUGGCAAAGUACUGUGGCAGCCUGAAGGAUUAUUGGGGCGGCAGGGUAGCCUAGUGUUUAGAGCGUUGGACUAGUAACCGAAAGGUUGCAAGUUUGAAUCCCCGAGCUGACUAGGUACAAAUCUGUCGUUCUGCUCCUGAACAGGCAGUUAACCCACUGUUACUAGGCCGUCAUUGAAAAUAAGAAUUUGUUCUUAACUGACUUGCCUAGUUAAAUAAAGGUAGAAAAAAAAUCUAUGUUUGUAUUUUAUGAAGCCGCAGCCAAGGUCUAGCCAUGGAGGGGAGACGAAUGCUGUAAGUGGAUGAUGCAAGAUCCUUUCUGGCUUAAAACUGAAUUCAACAUGUAUUAUGUUUACAAAGACAAAAUGUCUUUCCCCUCCAUACAGCCAUGUCAUGCCCAGUGAACUCUCACUACAAGGUGUGUACCAAUGCCUGCCCUGAAACCUGUGCCAAUACUUCUGGUUUGGUCACCAGUCCUUCGACUUGUGUGGAUGGGUGCCAGUGUGAGGCUGGGUAAUGUGCUCAGUCAUGAUCACUGUGUCAAGCCUGUGCAGGGUGGCUGAUUCCAGACUGGAUGCUAUUAUGAGGUGUGUGUGUGGAACUGGCAGAAGCAACGGUUUAAUGGUUCAGUCAGACUGGCUUUUGUAUUGUACUCCCAAAUUACUCUAUGUGUAGCUGGUUUGUUUCCAAUCCCAAACUAUACUGAACAAAAAUAUAAACGCAACAUACAAGAAUGUCAAAGAUUUUACUGAGUUACAGUUAAAUUGAAAUAAAAUGAAAUAGGCCCUAAUCUAUGAAUUUCACAUGACUGGGAAGGGGGGUAGCCAUGAGUGAGCCAUAGGCCCACCCACUUGGGAGCCAGGCCCAGCUAAUCAGAAUUAGCUUUUCCUCACAAAAGUGCUUUAUUACAGAAAGAAAUUCUCCUCAGUUUAAUCAGCUGUCUGGGUGUCUAGUCUCAGAUGGAUGUGGAGGUCCUGGGCUGGCAUGGUUACAUGUGGUCUGAGAUUGUGAGGCCGGUUGGACGUACUGACACAUUUUCUGAAAUGAAGUUGGAGGCAGCUUAUGGUAGAGAAAUUAACAUCACAUUCUCUGGCAACAGCUCUGGUGGACAUUCCUGCAAUCAGCAUGCCAAUUCCAUGCUCCCUCUACAAACAUCUGUGGCAUUGUGUUGUGACAAAACUGCAUGUUUUAGUGGCCUUUUAUUGUCCCCAGCACAAGGUGAACCUGUUUCAUGCUGUUUAAUCAGCUUCUUAAUGUGCCACACCUGUCAGGUGGAUGGCUUAUCUUGGCAAAGAAGAACUGCUCACUAACAGGGAUGUAAACACAUGUUUUCACAAUCUGAGAGAAACAAGCUUUUUGUGCAUAUAGAACAUUUCUGGGAUCUUUUUUUCAGCUCAUGAAACAUGGGACCAACACUUUACAUGUUGCGUUUAUAUUUCUGUCCAAUAUGUAUUUUCUGGGUUGUAGUCAUUGGUGCAUUUCCAAACCUUUCCAAAAUGACCAGAUCAUUUGACUGUUUUAUCAUGUUCCAAGACUAGAGGUUUGAUUACUCUGAGAGUGUAGUCAGUAAUGACACAUUGUCACAUUUAUUAUGACACAUUAUUUAUCAUCAAUUCCCAAACCUGAAUUUAUGCAGCUGUAAUCCCUGACAUGUUGCCACAACUACACCACAGAUCAAAAUGUGCCGUGCUUCAUUUAGACCAGGC